RNAcentral lists this ribosomal RNA (253 nucleotides) under uncultured bacterium. RNAcentral's name for it is "partial 16S ribosomal RNA". It matches the Rfam family "Bacterial small subunit ribosomal RNA", at positions 524 to 776 of the family's 1533-position model. The record is from RNAcentral.
GACAGAGGGUGCAAACGUUGUUCGGAAUUAUUGGGCGUAAAGCGCGUGUAGGCGGCUUUGCAAGUCGGGUGUGAAAGCCCUCAGCUCAACUGAGGAAGUGCGCCCGAAACUGCAGAGCUUGAGUACCGGAGAGGAUGGCGGAAUUCCCCAAGUAGAGGUGAAAUUCGUAGAUAUUGGGAAGAACACCCGUGGCGAAGGCGGCUCUCUGGAACGCAACUGACGCUGAGACGCGAAAGCGUGGGGAGCAAACAGG